ACAGAGUAAUGAACAAAAAGGAGAACACUUGGAUCCUCAAUUGACCUAUUCUGCAAACAAUUACAUUCAAACUAAAGGAUGAUCCAGAAACAACCUAACAGAAAUACUUCGAGGACGAGGUAAUGAAGCAUAACAAACAAUUUACUGUACAAAAGGGUUGACUCAAGCUUUUGCACAAAAGAAAAAUGCCCAAUCUCUCUCAAACUAACAAGCCACUUACAUUUUUAAGUCAUCUAUAGUACAAAUUCAACAACAUACUUAAGGUUAAUAGCUUUUCACAAAGAGAAUCAUAUACAGCAUGCAACUACUCUCCCUUUCUCAAGCAACAACUAAACCCUUGGGAGCUACAACAGCGGUCUGCUGAGAAUUGUUGGCUGCAACCAGAGGUGACGGCCCCACUUUGCCAUCUUUUUCGGUUUCUGAUGAAGGUGGUGGUGGUGGUGGUGGUGGCGGAUUCAUGUGGGGUGGUGGAUUAUGCUUGAGCUUCACGAGUAUAUGGCGCAUCCUUGAAAGAUCGGUUGGCUUGCCCGGUUUUGGGCCUGGAUCACAGCAAUGGAAGGCUGCUUUGCUUUCUCCUUUUUUCCUCUCU
Rhododendron vialii is the source of this 589-nucleotide long non-coding RNA. RefSeq lists it as uncharacterized. The transcript is spliced from 2 exons. The record is from RefSeq and is a predicted model, not a curated record. NCBI's taxonomy places the organism in Eukaryota, Viridiplantae, Streptophyta, Magnoliopsida, Ericales, Ericaceae.